This 458-nucleotide ribosomal RNA is filed under the name uncultured bacterium. RNAcentral describes it as "partial 16S ribosomal RNA". It matches the Rfam family "Bacterial small subunit ribosomal RNA", at positions 338 to 795 of the family's 1533-position model. The record is from RNAcentral.
CCUACGGGUGGCAGCAGUGAGGAAUAUUGGUCAAUGGGCGAGAGCCUGAACCAGCCAAGUCGCGUGAGGGAGUACUGCCCUAUGGGUUGUAAACCUCUUUUGUCGGGGAGCAAAAGCCGGACGUGUCCGGCUGUGAGAGUACCCGAAGAAAAAGCAUCGGCUAACUCCGUGCCAGCAGCCGCGGUAAUACGGGGGAUGCGAGCAUUAUCCGGAUUUAUUGGGUUUAAAGGGUGCGCAGGCGGAUUUUUAAGUCAGCGGUAAAAUCGUGGGGCUCAACCCCAUCCAGCCGUUGAAACUGGGGAUCUAGAGUGUGCGAGAGGUAUGCGGAAUGCGUGGUGUAGCGGUGAAAUGCAUAGAUAUCACGCAGAACCCCGAUUGCGAAGGCAGCAUACCGGUGCACAACUGACGCUCAGGCACGAAAGCGUGGGUAUCGAACAGGAUUAGAUACCCGAGUAGUC